UACAGAGGUCCCAAGCGUUGUUCGGAUUCAUUGGGCGUAAAGGGGGUGUAGGUGGCGCCGUUAGUCGGGUGUGAAAUUUCGGAGCUUAACUCCGAAACUGCAUUCGAUACUGCGGUGCUUGAGGACUGGAGAGGAGACUGGAAUUCAUGGUGUAGCAGUGAAAUGCGUAGAGAUCAUGAGGAAGACCAGUGGCGAAGGCGGGUCUCUGGACAGUUCCUGACACUGAGACACGAAGGCCAGGGGAGCAAACGGG
Molecule: ribosomal RNA, 253 nt
Filed under: uncultured bacterium
Lineage: Bacteria
Description: partial 16S ribosomal RNA
Rfam family: Bacterial small subunit ribosomal RNA
Source: RNAcentral